GCAGGUCUGGGUUUGACACAGGAAAGAGAAGUUAGCACAGACACACCCUGCCCCAGCUCUCCAAGGGAAAGGCCAAAUUGGCCUUCAAGAGAGCUCAGCUUCUCAUGCCUUCCUUGCCUCCUCCUUUUAAGUUUCUUCAGUGCUGCCCCUUGAACUCCCAUCAUUGGAUAGUCUCAGUAAAUGCUAUCCCCCAAAAGAUGAGUUGAUCGGUUUGUUUCCUCCCCAGCAUUCAUUCCGUCCCCUCUGGCAUCAGCCACAGGUUUUCUUAGGGAAGCCACUCUCCCCCAGUCUCAGUCCCUGUGGUCUGUACGGUUGUUCCACCUGUAUCUACAGAUGAGGCCAGUGACUCAGAUCUGGCCAGUUGACAGAAGAAGCUGAGGAAGCUGCCUUGCAAUUAUUAGGAAGCGCCUCCUUGAGAAAGGAGCUGACAUGGAAAACAACUGAACAGAAAGAAACCACGUUCUUGUGACGUAUUGUGAGCCCCGGCUGUUAAAGCAAGAAUUACUCUUGGGCUUCUGCUAAAGCCACUUUGGGUAGGUUCUUGCAAUUGAACGAGUAACUGAUUCAUGAGCAGCUCUGACCCUCUACCUUGAGGUUUGUCCUCUAGGUAAAUUAGAUCUUCUUUGGCACCAAUUGGGUUACUCACCAUGAGCAGCUUCAUGUUCCCUGCUGUGCAAAGGGCCCGGCUCCUGAAAGAGAAGAAAAGAGGCAGCCUUAUCACUGGAAAAGAGCCCCAGGUCCUGUUGCAUAGUUGGGAAGGACACCAGGGAAGCCAGCAUGGGCUCUAGAAUCAGGGUGCCAGGCAUCUCGUACACCCUCCUGGAAAGAUGGAUGCAAACUGCAUGAGGACAACACCUUUGCUGUGUUCACCACAAUAGCCCAGCAC
This is a long non-coding RNA of Myotis brandtii (Brandt's bat), 886 nucleotides long. RefSeq lists it as uncharacterized. NCBI's taxonomy places the organism in Eukaryota, Metazoa, Chordata, Mammalia, Chiroptera, Vespertilionidae. The transcript has 3 exons. The record is from RefSeq and is a predicted model, not a curated record.